This 29-nucleotide non-coding RNA is filed under the name Rattus norvegicus (Norway rat). Lineage: Eukaryota; Metazoa; Chordata; Mammalia; Rodentia; Muridae. The record is from RNAcentral.
UAGGUGAUAGCUUGAUUUUUACAGAAGUA